AAGGAAAAACAAGACAGAAAUCACAGAGUGCUCUGUGAGCAUACUUUACAGAUAAUUUCCCAAAGGAGCCAAUGUCUCUCCACAGCUUGGGAAGGACUCAAUAAUCUCUUAGAGGACUGACCCUGAAAUGGGCUCACUGUAUUCAGGGGCCUGAAGGAGUCAAUUUUUUAAUAUUCCUUUUCAUUAGUCUUUCCAUUUUAAUUGGCUAUGAGCAGAAUGUCUCUUUGAAGAAAUAUAAUGCAAAGGAAGAAGAAUUAAGGAUCGCAAGCAAGUUCCACGUAUCUAAAAAUGAGACAUUUUCUUUUUGGACUGUAUUUCUCUUGCAUUUUUAAAUUAAAUUUUCUUUUACUCCCCCCCCCAUUUUCACGAAAUUACUACUCCAUGAUAAUGGCAUAUUAGUUUUGUUCUUAUUCUCUUAAUAUUCCCUAUAAUUUUUUAACCCCAAAAAUUCUGUCCUUUUGUCAGUUUUCCCAAAGUAUCUGUAUUUUUCUCUUCUUUAUACAGCUUACUUUGUUCACCUACAAACUUUAUAUGUAUUCACGUGCAAAAAAAAAAUGUAAGCACUUUAAUGUAAAUUUUAAAAAAGUAAAUUUUUAAAAAGUAAAUAAGUAUUGCUCACAACUAGAUAUGCCUUGGUAAAAUCACCUUAAAAAGAGAAAAGAUGAGGGAAACCAUCAAAGAAGCUACUGCUUAGUAUUUUGAAAGUAGAUGAAUCUUGAACAGUGUCUAGAAAAUCAGAAAACCAAAAUUAUAAGGAAUUUAAGAGCCAUGUAUUGUAUGAUGCUCUCACAAAACUUGGUAGAAAAACCCAUAAAUGUGUCAUUCUGCAGCACUAGCAUACAGCAAGAAACAUAACUCCUUUUAACAGGACCCAGCACAAUUCUGAAAGGGCCAAAGAGAUCAGGAGAGCUAUGGCAUGGAUAUCAUGUGUAUCUCUUCUGCUGUCUACAGAGGCUCUUGGAAGGGGAACAAAAAAACCAAAAGCAAACAAACAAACAAAACAAAACAAAACACACACAAAAAAACCAACCAAAAAAUGCAAAAUAAAAAACCAAAACAAACCAAACAAACAAAAAAAACAAAACAAAAACAAACAAACAACAAAAAAAAGAGUAUAACCACGUCUCUUACUCUUACUGUGGUUGACAGACAAAGAAAUGUUGCAACCUGGAUGGCACAGAAGUAAUUGCAAAAAUAUAUUUGCAAGAGAAGAAAUAAAAUAACCCAAAUAUGAUAUGGGAAGCAGAUACCCCCCUUCAUUAAGACUCUGGUAAUUCUUCUAAUUUCAUUUAUUCAGCAAUUGGUGAGCUGUCCUUUUCACCUACAGAUAUGAUGAGUGUUCUGUCGUUUGGCAACAGAUUUACAGUCAAUAAUAUUGAUAGUUUCUCUUUACCUGAAUUGGGAUCUUGCCACUCCUGAACUGUAAGGUUAAUAAAGAUAAUAACUAAAUGUGUUCUGUUUAAUCCGACCAGAGGGCAUAUGGGAAAUCAAAGAAUGAAACAUAGAACUAAACUCUAGUUUAGAAACACAGAACUACUGAUCUAAAUAUAUCAAAAUACAAUGCUACUGCACAUGGCUAAAUAAUUCACUCACCCAUAGGCAUGCAGCUAAUAUAUUACUAUAAUGAUUUAAGUGUUCCUGAGAUGACUCCUUCAAACAUAAAAAGAUUAACAACACAAAAUGCAGCCUAGAAUUUGGCAUUUCAGUUCUGGAAUGAAAUCAGGAUGCUGAGAGAAUGAGGUACUAAAUGCUUUGUGGCUUUGGAAUAUUUCCUUUUAAUCUCAUUAAGCAAAAACAAAAAUGCUUCCUAACUGGAGAAAGAUUUAACAACCCUGAACUUUCAGAAGAAACAGGGACAUGUGCAAAUUUACAGUGGUUUCCAAUUUCUACACAAAUAUUCAAUGAAUCAUUUAGUAAGCAUUUCUGAAUUCUCAAAGACUAGAUAUAAAUAUAAUAAUUUAAUGAACCCAUUCUUCAAACUUACUCAAAUAAUUUUACUUUAUUUUAGAAACCCCCAUGAAUAUCUUCAAGACAAAUCUUUGGCAAACCCUCAGCUGCAGUUAAUUAUUUUAUCCUCUUACGGUUAAACUUUGCUUUAGCUUUGCAUGAUGUGUCUUCCUGCCAAGAUCCGGUCACUAUAAAUGUGUACAUUUUUCACUGGAUUUAUCACUGAUUUUUUUUCUUUAAAUUAUUUUUUAAAAGAAAAUAGCUGUAAUAUUGAGGGCAAAAGCCAUAGUCAUAUACUAAGUCCAACAUUUCCAGGGUUUCUAAAGUUUCUUGUAUAAUUUUUCAAGUCACACAUGACACUUUUAAAUUUUGAUGAGGCAAAAAAUAGAUUUGAAAAAAGCAGCAGUAAUGAAGAUGCACAAACCCCUUUAUUUCUGUUUUUUUUCCCCCCACAUUCUGUAACAAAAAGGAUUAUGAAUUCAAAUAGAAGCUGGCAAAAUUUUCCAGUAAUUCGGCUGCAGAUUAUUGAUUACAAACUUUCUAAAAUCAGAGUGCUGUGCUACUCAGCACUUCUAAAUUAUAGCAGAACUGAGACAUUUGGGGCACAGUGCCACUGGUGGAAACACAGGCUCUAAAAGUCCUUCCAAUGAUAACAAUACUCACCAAAGUUAUGUAGAAAUGUCAUGUUAUCAGAGAGAAAAUAGACAGAAUAUCACGAUCUCUUAAAAAGGGAAGAAACUUUAAACUAUGUUUGUAUUCAAAUAGCUGCCAUUAAUUUUUUUGCUAUACAAUUUUCCUUUUCUGGUUCUGUAGAGGUAAACUUCUUUAUUGUUUCAGCCAUGACUGCAGAAUAUGCCCAUAAGCUGACAUUCAAUUGACAAAAACAUCCAAGUUUUACGGCACCUACCUCAAAGAAAGCUCUGCUGUAGCAAAAGAAAAGAUUACUUGUGUUUUGUGAUGUGACUGAGUAUUUUCUAGUUUGCAUUUCAAAAUAGGCAAAUAAGUCCCAGAGCAGCCAGAUGAGGAAGAAAGAUGGGUUUAUAGGUUGGCCUAACCUUCUCACAUACAUCCUACACUGGCAGCUAUUAAACAGAGUUCUGCAAAACCCUUAUCCCUUCUCAGAAAAUACACACCUGACCAAAAUCUAGGAAUGCUGGAUCAGGCUGUGGAUCAUCAGUACCAUGGAAGGAACAAGAUUUUUUGGACUGGCUUGGCCUAGCUGACAAGUUUGUCUUCCUCAGGAAAAUGAAGGUUUGGAGGCUGCUCACAAAGACAGCAGGUGGCCCAUGUCCAAAUCAGAGAUGAGAGUGAUUAUUUGGAGUCUAUCACAAACCUCUGAUGGUGGCAGGCUACACAGGAGCUUACAGCAUUUGGUGAAUGACUCCAUGGUAUAUUUACAACACGUAAUUCAAGAGCAACUCCACUAAGGAAAUGAUGACCUCUCAUCAGCUUUCCUGGAAAUAAGGUUAAUAUAGUAUCUAAAAUAAGAAAUAAAUGUCUUUUGGAAAAAGACAUUACAUCUUGCUGAUCUUCAUGUUGUUAAUUUUGACAGCUUCUGGUAAUGAGUGAGGUAUUUUCUAGCUAGUUCCUAUACAAUUCAAUUUCUCUGAUUUCAGCGUGGAUAUAUUUCAGUUUUAAUUAUUGUUUGAUUCCAAGCUGUGGAUUUAUUUUUAUUUUAUAUUUCCUAGAGUUUUGCUAUAUAUAAAGCACUUUUUAAGGUAAAAAUAUGGAUUCCAAAUUUUCAGUUCAUUAUUUGUUCAGAUCUUACUAAGUAGUUCCAUUAGGCAGACAAACUGUGAGUGCUGAGCAGCUACUGUUACACAGGAUUUGAAGGGGGAAGACAUAUGACCAAGUUUUCCAAUAACAAUAACCAAGAAAUCUUCAUUCCUCAUUGUGGAAUCUUGGAGGAAGAGGGAAUAAGAGAAAAUAUUGCUGUUACAAUAAUUCACAACAGAUUUAUUCUGAAAGUCUCUGAAUUUAAAAUUAAAAGAAGCCCACAACUAUCUGACUUUGUUUUUCAGUGUGUGAAGAGAGAAAUACCAUGCAUUAAUCUAACAUUUCCUUAUACUUUUAUUUUAUGACAGGUUCAUGUGUAGUUUAACAAAUAUGUCAUUUAGUUUGUAAAGACUCCACAACUUUGUGAAUAGCAUGUAAAAACAUUAUCUUUAAAGCAGUAAACAACAAGUUUCCUGUCUGGCAGCAUUGUUAACAGCAUCAGUGAGUGUAAUUCCUCAGACACAGCUUCAGACCCACAAGGAUGUAAAGACUACCAUUGUUGGCCAUAUUAAGCUAUUUUUUCAUUUACUUUUAACGAAAGAUCAGUUGUUAUUUUAACUACUCUCUCACUGGCUCCACAAAAGCAGUGCUUUUGUCUCUAUAAAACUUCCAGAGUUCCAGAAACCAAAAUCAACACCUGUGCAUACAGUGAGGCUCCACUUGAAAGAAUACAGAUGACAGUCAAUUAACUUACUACUUUAUGUGCUGUUUAUUGUAAUAUUUUUUUCAGUGGUUAAAAGAAUCAGUCUCAAGAUAGUACAUAUGAAAAGAAAUAAAAGUAAUAUUUUGCUCAUACUAAUGAAGACAAGCCAUCAAACUUUGACCUUCUCCUUAGAUUAAUUGUCAUGGUCCUGGUUCAAACGUGAGUGUCAUCAGCAACAGUUUUUUAACAUCAAUUAGGGGGCAUUAAGUAAUUAAUAAUCCUUAAUAAUUUCUACUGAUCUACAGAUAAAUAUUCUCAAUCAGUAAAAAAAAUAUUCU
This is a long non-coding RNA of Lepidothrix coronata (blue-crowned manakin), 4704 nucleotides long. RefSeq lists it as uncharacterized. NCBI's taxonomy places the organism in Eukaryota, Metazoa, Chordata, Aves, Passeriformes, Pipridae. The transcript has 4 exons. The record is from RefSeq and is a predicted model, not a curated record.